GGGACACGUGGUAUCCUGUCUGAAUAUGGGGGGACCAUCCUCCAAGGCUAAAUACUCCUGACUGACCGAUAGUGAACCAGUACCGUGAGGGAAAGGCGAAAAGAACCCCGGCGAGGGGAGUGAAAAAGAACCUGAAACCGUGUACGUACAAGCAGUGGGAGCCUCUUAAUGGGGUGACUGCGUACCUUUUGUAUAAUGGGUCAGCGACUUAUAUUCUGUAGCAAGGUUAACCGAAUAGGGGAGCCGAAGGGAAACCGAGUCUUAACUGGGCGUUAAGUUGCAGGGUAUAGACCCGAAACCCGGUGAUCUAGCCAUGGGCAGGUUGAAGGUUGGGUAACACUAACUGGAGGACCGAACCGACUAAUGUUGAAAAAUUAGCGGAUGACUUGUGGCUGGGGGUGAAAGGCCAAUCAAACCGGGAGAUAGCUGGUUCUCCCCGAAAGCUAUUUAGGUAGCGCCUCGUGAAUUCAUCUCCGGGGGUAGAGCACUGUUUCGGCAAGGGGGUCAUCCCGACUUACCAACCCGAUGCAAACUGCGAAUACCGGAGAAUGUUAUCACGGGAGACACACGGCGGGUGCUAACGUCCGUCGUGAAGAGGGAAACAACCCAGACCGCCAGCUAAGGUCCCAAAGUCAUGGUUAAGUGGGAAACGAUGUGGGAAGGCCCAGACAGCCAGGAUGUUGGCUUAGAAGCAGCCAUCAUUUAAAGAAAGCGUAAUAGCUCACUGGUCGAGUCGGCCUGCGCGGAAGAUGUAACGGGGCUAAACCAUGCACCGAAGCUGCGGCAGCGACACUAUGUGUUGUUGGGUAGGGGAGCGUUCUGUAAGCCUGUGAAGGUGUACUGUGAGGUAUGCUGGAGGUAUCAGAAGUGCGAAUGCUGACAUAAGUAACGAUAAAGCGGGUGAAAAGCCCGCUCGCCGGAAGACCAAGGGUUCCUGUCCAACGUUAAUCGGGGCAGGGUGAGUCGACCCCUAAGGCGAGGCCGAAAGGCGUAGUCGAUGGGAAACAGGUUAAUAUUCCUGUACUUGGUGUUACUGCGAAGGGGGGACGGAGAAGGCUAUGUUGGCCGGGCGACGGUUGUCCCGGUUUAAGCGUGUAGGCUGGUUUUCCAGGCAAAUCCGGAAAAUCAAGGCUGAGGCGUGAUGACGAGGCACUACGGUGCUGAAGCGACAAAUGCCCUGCUUCCAGGAAAAGCCUCUAAGCAUCAGGUAACAUCAAAUCGUACCCCAAACCGACACAGGUGGUCAGGUAGAGAAUACCAAGGCGCUUGAGAGAACUCGGGUGAAGGAACUAGGCAAAAUGGUGCCGUAACUUCGGGAGAAGGCACGCUGAUAUGUAGGUGAAGCGACUUGCUCGUGGAGCUGAAAUCAGUCGAAGAUACCAGCUGGCUGCAACUGUUUAUUAAAAACACAGCACUGUGCAAACACGAAAGUGGACGUAUACGGUGUGACGCCUGCCCGGUGCCGGAAGGUUAAUUGAUGGGGUUAGCGGUAACGCGAAGCUCUUGAUCGAAGCCCCGGUAAACGGCGGCCGUAACUAUAACGGUCCUAAGGUAGCGAAAUUCCUUGUCGGGUAAGUUCCGACCUGCACGAAUGGCGUA
RNAcentral lists this ribosomal RNA (1599 nucleotides) under Escherichia coli. RNAcentral's name for it is "partial 23S ribosomal RNA". It matches the Rfam family "Bacterial large subunit ribosomal RNA", at positions 419 to 2003 of the family's 2925-position model. The record is from RNAcentral. Lineage: Bacteria; Pseudomonadati; Pseudomonadota; Gammaproteobacteria; Enterobacterales; Enterobacteriaceae.